GACGAACGCUGGCGGCGCGCCUAACACAUGCCAGUCGAGCGAUGAAAUUUUAACCGCUCUCUUCGGAGAGAAGAUAAAAUGGAUUAGCGGCGGACGGGUGAGUAACACGUGAGAAACCUGCCUUUCACAAGGGGAUAGCCUCGGGAAACCGGGAUUAAUACCCUAUGACACAUUUCCUUCGCAUGGAAGAAAUGUUAAAACUCCGGUGGUGAAAGAUGGUCUCGCGCCUGAUUAGCUAGUUGGUGGGGUAACGGCCCACCAAGGCCAUGAUCAGUAACCGGCAGGAGAGGGUGAACGGUCACAUUGGAACUGAGACACGGUCCAAACUCCUACGGGAGGCAGCAGUGGGGAAUAUUGCACAAUGGAGGAAACUCUGAUGCAGCGACGCCGCGUGAGCGAUGAAGGCUUUCGAGUCGUAAAGCUCUGUCCUAUGGGAAGAUAAUGACGGUACCAUAGGAGGAAGCCCCGGCUAACUACGUG
Molecule: ribosomal RNA, 480 nt
Filed under: uncultured bacterium
Lineage: Bacteria
Description: partial 16S ribosomal RNA
Rfam family: Bacterial small subunit ribosomal RNA
Source: RNAcentral